Molecule: long non-coding RNA, 273 nt
Filed under: Medicago truncatula (barrel medic)
Lineage: Eukaryota; Viridiplantae; Streptophyta; Magnoliopsida; Fabales; Fabaceae
Description: lncRNA gene16315
Source: RNAcentral
CCAUGAUUCGAGCUUUUGGCGCGAAAAACAAAUUGAAAUUCAUUGAUUGAUCUAUGGAGAUUCCAGAUGAAGAUGAUUUGAAUCGCAAUGCCUGGGAACGUUGUAACCAUCUCCUUCAGUCUUGGAUCAUCAAUUCAGCUACUCCUCAAAUUGCACAAACCCUAGUUUUUCAUGAAAACGCCAUUGAUGCGUGGUUGGAUCUUAAAGAACGCUUCUCUAAAGCAGAUCGUAUUCGUAUUGCUACUCUUCGUUCUAAGAUCAAUAAUCUGAAGC